GAUGAAGAACGUAGCGAAAUGCGAUAAGUAAUGUGAAUUGCAGAAUUCAGUGAAUCAUCGAAUCUUUGAACGCACAUUGCGCCCGUCAGUAUUCUGGCGGGCAUGCCUGUUCGAGCGUCAUUACGCCCCUCAAGUCCCCUGUGGACUUGGUGUUGGGGAUCGGCGAGGCUGGUUUUCCAGCACAGCCGUCCCUUAAAUUAAUUGGCGGUCUCCCCGUGGCCCUCCUCUGCGCAGUAGUAAAACACUCGCAACAGGAGCCCGGCGCGGUCCACUGCCGUAAAACCCCCCAACUUUUUAUAGUUGACCUCGAAUCAGGUAGGACUACCCGCUGAACUUAAGCAUAUCAAUAAGCGGAGGA
This 358-nucleotide unclassified non-coding RNA is filed under the name soil metagenome. Its description in RNAcentral is "partial contains 5.8S ribosomal RNA, internal transcribed spacer 2, and large subunit ribosomal RNA". The stretch from base 1 to 120 matches the Rfam family "5.8S ribosomal RNA", at positions 35 to 154 of the family's 154-position model. The record is from RNAcentral.